AGGGCACCACCAGGAGUGGAGCCUGCGGCUUAAUUUGACUCAACACGGGAAAUCUCACCAGGCCCGGACACCGGAAGGAUUGACAGAUUGAGAGCUCUUUCUUGAUUCGGUGGGUGGUGGUGCAUGGCCGUUCUUAGUUGGUGGAGCGAUUUGUCUGGUUAAUUCCGAUAACGAACGAGACUCUGGCCUACUAACUAGACGUUGGAUCAUUUACGGUCCUUCGCUGCUUCUUAGAGGGACGGGCGGCGUUCAGCCGCACGAGAAUGAGCAAUAACAGGUCUGUGAUGCCCUUAGAUGUUCUGGGCUGCGCGCGCGCUACACUGAAGGAAUCAGCGUGUGUACCCUGUCCGAAAGGACUGGGGAACCCGUUGAACCUCCUUCGUGAUGGGGAUUGGGGAUUGAAAUUAUUCCCCAUGAACGAGGAAUUCCCAGUAGGCGCGAGUCAUAAGCUUGCGUCGAUUACGUCCCUGCCCUUUGUACACACCGCCCGUCGCUACUACCGAUCGAGUGAUUUAGUGA
RNAcentral lists this ribosomal RNA (519 nucleotides) under uncultured eukaryote. RNAcentral's name for it is "SSU rRNA". It matches the Rfam family "Eukaryotic small subunit ribosomal RNA", at positions 1161 to 1704 of the family's 1831-position model. The record is from RNAcentral.